This 301-nucleotide ribosomal RNA is filed under the name uncultured bacterium. RNAcentral describes it as "partial 16S ribosomal RNA". It matches the Rfam family "Bacterial small subunit ribosomal RNA", at positions 509 to 809 of the family's 1533-position model. The record is from RNAcentral.
CAGCCGCCGCGGGAAUACGUAGGGUGCAAGCGUUAAUCGGAAUUACUGGGCGUAAAGCGUGCGCAGGCGGUUCUAUAAGACAGAUGUGAAAUCCCCGGGCUCAACCUGGGAACUGCAUUUGUGACUGUAGAGCUGGAGUGCGGCAGAGGGGGAUGGAAUUCCGCGUGUAGCAGUGAAAUGCGUAGAUAUGCGGAGGAACACCGAUGGCGAAGGCAAUCCCCUGGGCCUGCACUGACGCUCAUGCACGAAAGCGUGGGGAGCAAACAGGAUUAGAUACCCCGGUAGUCCCUGUCUCUUAUAA